Molecule: ribosomal RNA, 396 nt
Filed under: uncultured bacterium
Lineage: Bacteria
Description: partial 16S ribosomal RNA
Rfam family: Bacterial small subunit ribosomal RNA
Source: RNAcentral
AUACGUAGGGGGCGAGCGUUGUCCGGAAUGACUGGGCGUAAAGGGCGUGUAGGCGGCUGUCUAAGUCUGGAGUGAAAGUCCUGCUUUCAAGGUGGGAAUUGCUUUGGAGACUGUAUCCCUUGAGUAUCGGAGAGGCAGGCGGGAUUCCUAGUGUAGCGGUGAAAUGCGUAGAUAUUAGGAGGAACACCAGUGGCGAAGGCGGCCUGCUGGACGACAACUGACGCUGAGGCGCGAAAGCGUGGGGAGCAAACAGGAUUAGAUACCCUGGUAGUCCACGCUGUAAACGAUGAAUACUAGGUGUGGGGGGACUGACCCCCUCCGUGCCGCAGUUAACACAAUAAGUAUUCCACCUGGGGAGUACGAUCGCAAGAUUGAAACUCAAAGGAAUUGACGGGG